GUGCCUAACACAUGCAAGUCGAACGAGAAAGUCCCGCAAGGGAUGAGUAAAGUGGCGCACGGGUGAGUAACACGUAGCUAACCUGCCUUUCAGUGGGGGAUAACCUGGGGAAACUCGGGCUAAUACCGCAUAACAUCCAGGUUGCAUAAGCAGCCGGGAGCAAAGGCCCGCAAGGGCCGCUGGAGGAGGGGGCUGCGGCCGAUUAGCUAGUUGGUGAGGUAAUGGCCCACCAAGGCGAUGAUCGGUAGCCGGCCUGAGAGGGCGCACGGCCACACUGGCACUGAAACACGGGCCAG
RNAcentral lists this ribosomal RNA (296 nucleotides) under uncultured bacterium. RNAcentral describes it as "partial 16S ribosomal RNA". It matches the Rfam family "Bacterial small subunit ribosomal RNA", at positions 44 to 334 of the family's 1533-position model. The record is from RNAcentral.